Molecule: long non-coding RNA, 1239 nt
Organism: Cucumis melo (muskmelon)
Lineage: Eukaryota; Viridiplantae; Streptophyta; Magnoliopsida; Cucurbitales; Cucurbitaceae
Exons: 9
Source: RefSeq, a predicted model, not a curated record
GAACAAACUCCCUAAUGCUCCUCACGCAAAAACCCUCCAUCUUCGUCGUCUCCUCCCAUUCCCGUGUCCUCCCUCAACGCCGUCGGCUGCCGCUGCUACACUUAACUUCUCCGUCUUUGAACGCCACCAGCUGCUACUACCGUUUGGGUUCGGACACCGCUGCUACCGUUUCGGUUCAAACACCGCGUCUCCUCUCCCUCAACACCACUGCUACCAUUUUAGUUCGAACGUCGCGUCUCUUCUCCCUCAACACCGCUACUACCCUUUGAAAAUUUUUAGAAGACUUUUGCCAAAGACACUUUCAAGAAUGGCCUUCAUCACACAUUCAUGUUCUUUAAAAAAUAUCCAAAAAGUUGUGAAAAAUUCAACGAAGCAAAAAAUGCAGGAGCAGAUUUGGUUGGAGGUGAGGAUUUGAUAGAACAGAUCAAAGGAGGUUUCAUGGAAUUUGAUAAGUUGAUUUCUUCACCAGAUAUGAUGCCCAAGACUUUCAACUGAUGGAAAGGAUUUCUUCACUUCAUACAAUGAAGUUUAUGACAGUUUUGAUUUUAUGGGCCUAUAAGAAAAUUAAACCUUCUCAGAGGGAUCUAUGCCUACGGUUUUGAGAAGUCAUCCGCAAUUCAAUAAAGGAGAAUUGUUCCUCUUCGCAAAGGGCUUGAUGUAAUCCAACAAGCCCAGUCUAGAAUUGGGAAGACUGCAACUUUUUGCUCCAACAUUUUUCAGCAACUUGAUUAUGGUCUUGUGCAGUGCCAAGCAUGUUACUUCCAUUUAAUGUUUGUAUUCUGUUAAUGAAUAAGCUAAUUUUAGAACUUGGUUAUUAUAUUGAGGAGCUAAGCAAACACAAGGUGCUAUAAAGAAAUUUGUCAAUUCCAAGUAUUUUCCAACUAUUCUACUAUGUGCUGGGUGCACUAUUGUACAGUUAAAUUCAAACUCCGAUCAUGUUCUUCAGACACCUUUUCAAGAUCAUGGCACCGUUGAGUGGAUUUGCUGGAGUGUACACUAAGGUUUUGGAAGAAUCUAUUGGAGCAAUGAAACCAUAUUUGCGGCAAUUCGUUGAUGUAUAUCCCUUUUUGUAGGUUUAGUAGUAAAAUUUUGGUUCAAAUGUACUUAUUUAAAUAGUUUGUUCGUACCAAAACAUAUAUGUUGAUUGCUUCAUUGUACAAACACUUUACCAAAAAUUGUACAAAUAUUAGAAAGUGUAUGUUAAAGUAUAUAUAUUAAAGCGUUCACCAUUUCUUUCCA